CAACAUUAUCCUCGCAGUCAUGGGAGCACCCUUCAGAACAUCAAGGAAGGAAACUCACAGAUGCCUGGGAUUUUUUUGCUGUCCUGGUGUUUCAACUAAGAGAGCUUCUGUGAGCCUCGCUUGGAAAGAGGCACCAUGUGCUUACACACAUAGGGAGUCCAAACUGCUCCAGAUACGAUGCUUAAGAUUCCUCAUUAAAACCAACUGAACACAAACAAAGUGAUUUUUUUCCCUAAUGCCUGAGAUUAUUUAAGUGGGAAAAGGGGAACAUUUUUUAAGAUGUUAAAAAUGCUUUUGGCGUUAUAUGCACCUGAGCAGAGAGACUCAGACUAGUUUGAAUCACUUCACUUUAUACUCGUUUGCACCUCCUAGUCCAUAAGAGUUGCAGUUUAAGAAAGCAGCACUUACUGCAGGAGGAAAUUGCAUCCAAAUCUCCAAACCACUUCAAACCUAAAGUUCUCUGAUCCUGUUAGGGUGUGGAAAAGCUCAAGAAUAAGGAUUUUCAAUUAUGUCUUUUACCCAAAAGAGACUUGGCAAGGCCCCUUGAAUAAUUCCAUUCUUUUAAUCAAGAAAUUGUUAUCUAACCUACUUCCAUUAAAUCAAAUUUAAAAAAAAAAAAAAAAAGG
This is a long non-coding RNA of Cygnus olor (mute swan), 626 nucleotides long. RefSeq lists it as uncharacterized. Lineage: Eukaryota; Metazoa; Chordata; Aves; Anseriformes; Anatidae. The transcript is spliced from 2 exons. The record is from RefSeq and is a predicted model, not a curated record.